GAAUGAUUCAGUUUUUAAUACUGAGGACAAAUUGGUUUAAAUCUUUUUAAUAUAUUAUGGCACAUGAGUUAAAAUCAUGCUUGUAGUAUGUUGUAAACUAGCUGUGGAGUGAAUAAAAUAGUGCAAAUUAGCAAAUUGUAAUGCCAUUAUACUGUAUACUGUACAAUUUAUAUCACAUAAUUUAAAUUGUCAUUUAAUAUACUGUACAUUAAUAUAAUAAAAAAAACAUGUUCUCUUAUAAAUUAUGGAGAAUUGUUUGUGAACGUUUGCACAAGGAAUUCAAAGCCCUUUGCACAACCAUUAAUAAUAACAUCAGGGGCAGUGGCGUAACUUCUAAGGGACUAAGGCCCAUGCCCGUCAAGACCCGGCCAGGGUGUCAGCUAGGAAUCGGAUUCCCUUGUGAUAGGAACCGGGUGCUAAGAUCCAAUAAUUUUUGCGUGAUUUUGAGGAAAGUAACGAAUUUCCAACUAUAAUUAUAAAGUUUAAGUUGUGAGUGCCCACCCCCUACCUUCUCGCUGACGCUCUUUAGGUCAAGGGGAGCACUUUUCAGUUCAAGAGGGGCCUGGACCUCUUAACACAAAGUCAUGGCAUGGACCUGCAGGGGAUAACAGAUCGUUAAUGUAUGGGUUUCAGUAAGCAUCGUCGUGCAGCAGAGGGUGGUUAACUGGCAGUUUAAUGAGUAACGGAAAUGACUAUUAUUUUCCUUAUACUGUUUGUAGUAGUCCGUUUUGCUGUUUUGAUGUGGGCAAAUAAAUAGAAAUAUAGGUUUAUGUUAAAUUUUUUGCUCUUAAAGUUACCACUUGUGAAGUUUACCACAAUCCAUCCCCUGCUUCGCUUAAUGAAAUCCAAUAGCGUCUUGAUCAGUCAACCAGUGUGAUUACAACCCAAUGCACUUCUUAUUUAUUUCAAUAUUACAUGUGCAAUGGUGAAGUAA
This is a non-coding RNA of Paramuricea clavata, 934 nucleotides long. The record is from the annotation of a GenBank genome assembly. Lineage: Eukaryota; Metazoa; Cnidaria; Anthozoa; Malacalcyonacea; Plexauridae.